AGAGUUUGAUCAUGGCUCAGAUUGAACGCUGGCGGCAUGCCUUACACAUGCAAGUCGAACGGUAACGCGGGGGCAACCCUGGCGACGAGUGGCGAACGGGUGAGUAAUAUAUCGGAACGUGCCCUAGAGUGGGGGAUAACUAGUCGAAAGACUAGCUAAUACCGCAUACGAUCUACGGAUGAAAGCGGGGGAUCGCAAGACCUCGCGCUCAUGGAGCGGCCGAUAUCUGAUUAGCUAGUUGGUGGGGUAAAAGCCUACCAAGGCAUCGAUCAGUAGCUGGUCUGAGGGGACGACCAGCCACACUGGGACUGAGACACGGCCCAGACUCCUAUGGGAGGCAGCAGUGGGGAAUUUUGGACAAUGGGGGCAACCCUGAUCCAGCAAUGCCGCGUGAGUGAAGAAGGCCUUCGGGUUGUAAAGCUCUUUUGUCCGGAAAGAAAUCCGCUGGGUUAAUACCUUAGCGGGAUGACGGUACCGGAAGAAUAAGCACCGGCUAACUACGUGCCAGCAGCCGCGGUAAUACGUAGGGUGCAAGCGUUAAUCGGAAUUACUGGGCGUAAAGCGUGCGCAGGCGGUUGUGCAAGACAGAUGUGAAAUCCCCCGGGGCUUAACCUGGGAACUGCAUUUGUGACUGCACGGCUAGAGUGUGUCAGAGGGGGGUAGAAUUCCACGUGUAGCAGUGAAAUGCGUAGAUAUGUGGAGGAAUACCGAUGGCGAAGGCAGCCCCCUGGGAUAACACUGACGCUCAUGCACGAAAGCGUGGGGAGCAAACAGGAUUAGAUACCCUAGUAGUCC
RNAcentral lists this ribosomal RNA (795 nucleotides) under uncultured bacterium. RNAcentral describes it as "bacterial SSU rRNA". It matches the Rfam family "Bacterial small subunit ribosomal RNA", at positions 8 to 796 of the family's 1533-position model. The record is from RNAcentral.